AGGUCACUGCUAUCGGGAUCCGACUAAGCCAUGCAAGAUGAUUGUACCCUCAGCAAUGAGGGUGUCAUGUCGUACGGCUCAGUAACACGUAACUAACCUGCCCUUGGGUCAGGGAUAACCUCGGGAAACUGAGUAGAAUACCUGAUAGGUUUUGGAGGCUGGAAUGUUCGCCUUUUUUUCAAGAAAAAAAGGCUUCCCAGAAUGCACCAAAACUGAAAGGCGACGCCCAAGGAUGGGGUUGCGACGGAUUAGGCUGUUGUUGAGGUAAAAGCUCAACAAACCUAUAAUCCGUACGGGUUGUGAGAGCAAUCGCCCGGAGAUGGAUUCUGAGACAAGAAUCCAGGCCCUACGGGGCGCAGCAGGCGCGAAACCUUUACAAUGCGCGCAAGCGUGAUAAGGGGAUCCCGAGUGCCUUGGUACUACCAAGGCUUUUGCCCACUCCAAACAGGUGGGCGAAUAAGUGGUGGGUAAAACGGGUGCCAGCCGCCGCGGUAAUACCCGUGCCACGAGUGGUGACCGUGAUUAUUGGGCCUAAAGCGUUCGUAGCCGGCCUGAUAAGUCCUCUGUGAAAUCUUGGGUUGAACUCAAGGCUUGCUGGGGAAACUAUCAGGCUUGGGACCGGGAGAGGCUGGAGGUACUCCAGGAGUAGGGGUAAAAUCCUGUAAUCCCUGGGGGACCACCAGUGGCGAAGGCGUCCAGCUUGAACGGAUCCGACGGUGAGGGACGAAAGCUAGGGGAGCGAAGGGGAUUAGAUAUGAGCCAAGAAUCUUGGCCCACUAAAUACCCCCGUAGUCCUAGCCGUAAACGAUGCCCGUUUGGCGUUGCAGAACCUUCGGGGUUUUGCAGUGCCGUAGCGUAGGCGUUAAACGGGCCGCCUGGGGAGUACGGCCGCAAGGUUGAAACUUAAAGGAAUUGGCGGGGGAGCACCACAAGGGGUGCGGCCUGCGGUUCAAUUGGAUUCAACGCCAAAAAUGUCACCAGGGGCGACAGCAGAAUGAUGGUCACUCCGAAGGGGUUACCUGACGCGCUGAGAGGUGCUGCAUGGCCAUCGUCAGUUCGUACCGUGAGGCGUUCGGUUAAGUCCGACAACGAACGAGACCCACACCCUCAGUUGCCACCCUGUCCCAAGGGAUGGGAGCACUCCGAGGGGACCGCUGGUGAUAAACCAGAGGAAGGAGUGGGCGACGGUAGGUCCGUAUGGCCCGAAUCUCCUGGGCUACACGCGGGCAACAAUGGCAAGGACAAUGGGUUGCAACACCGAGAGGUGAAGCCAAUCCCCAAACCUUGUCCCAGUUCAGAUCGAGCGCUGCAACUCGCGCUCGUGACGCCGGAAUCCCUAGUAAGCGCUGGUCACUAUCCAGCGCUGAAUACAUCCCUGCUCUUUGCACACACCGCCCGUCAAGCCAUUUGAGCGAGGUUUUGACGAGGCC
RNAcentral lists this ribosomal RNA (1430 nucleotides) under uncultured archaeon. RNAcentral's name for it is "16S ribosomal RNA". It matches the Rfam family "Archaeal small subunit ribosomal RNA". The record is from RNAcentral.